GCCUCAUGGAUUAACGAAACUAAGGUCGGACUGUUAAUCCGUAGGUCCCUGGUUCGAGCCCAGGUUGAGGAGCCA
Molecule: transfer RNA, 75 nt
Filed under: Methylotenera sp.
Lineage: Bacteria; Pseudomonadati; Pseudomonadota; Betaproteobacteria; Nitrosomonadales; Methylophilaceae
Description: tRNA-Asn
Source: RNAcentral